AGCAGCCGCGGUAAUUCCAGCUCCAAUAGCGUAUAUUAAAGUUGUUGCAGUUAAAAAGCUCGUAGUUGAAUUUCGGGAUCAAAGAAUCGGUCAUGCCUUGGUAUGUACUGGUUUUAUUGGUUCUCACCUUCUAAAGAACCAUGAUGUCAUUCAUUUGAUGUUAUGGGGAAUUAGGACUGUUACCUUGAAAAAAUUAGAGUGUUUAAAGCAAGCUUACGCUUGAAUACAUUAGCAUGGAAUAAUGAAAUAGGACAUCAGAUUCUAUUUUGUUGGUUUCUAGGAUCGAUGUAAUGAUUAAUAGGGAUAGUUGGGGGCAUUAGUAUUCAAUUGUCAGAGGUGAAAUUCUUGGAUUUAUUGAAGACUAACUACUGCGAAAGCAUUUGCCAAGGAUGUUUUCAUUAAUCAAGAACGAAAGUUAGGGGAUCGAAGACGAUCAGAUACCGUCGUAGUCUUAACCAUAAACUAUGCCGACUAGGGAUCGGAUGAUGUUAAUUUUUAAUGACUCAUUC
This 509-nucleotide unclassified non-coding RNA is filed under the name uncultured Glomus. RNAcentral's name for it is "SSU rRNA". It matches the Rfam family "Eukaryotic small subunit ribosomal RNA", at positions 569 to 1081 of the family's 1831-position model. Lineage: Eukaryota; Fungi; Glomeromycota; Glomeromycetes; Glomerales; Glomeraceae. The record is from RNAcentral.